Molecule: ribosomal RNA, 497 nt
Filed under: uncultured bacterium
Lineage: Bacteria
Description: partial 16S ribosomal RNA
Rfam family: Bacterial small subunit ribosomal RNA
Source: RNAcentral
GAUGAACGCUGGCGGCGUGCCUAAUACAUGCAAGUCGAGCGAACAGAUGAGGAGCUUGCUCCUCUGACGUUAGCGGCGGACGGGUGAGUAACACGUGGAUAACCUACCUAUAAGACUGGGAUAACUUCGGGAAACCGGAGCUAAUACCGGAUAAUAUAUUGAACCGCAUGGUUCAAUAGUGAAGGACGGUUUUGCUGUCACUUAUAGAUGGGUCCGCGCCGCAUUAGCUAGUUGGUAAGGUAACGGCUUACCAAGGCAACGAUGCGUAGCCGACCUGAGAGGGUGAUCGGCCACACUGGAACUGAGACACGGUCCAGACUCCUACGGGAGGCAGCAGUAGGGAAUCUUCCGCAAUGGGCGAAAGCCUGACGGAGCAACGCCGCGUGAGUGAUGAAGGUCUUCGGAUCGUAAAACUCUGUUAUUAGGGAAGAACAAAUGUGUAAGUAACUAUGCACGUCUUGACGGUACCUAAUCAGAAAGCCACGGCUAACUACGUG